CCUAAUUUGCGGUCUUCCCUUUUCGUUUUGCCCGUUGUUUUUUCGAAUCCUCUGAUUCUCUUUGGUGUUCUGUUCUCUGUUUCGUGGAAAGAGUUCCUGAUUUUCGUCUUUAAGGGAUUUUCUUUGUGGGUUUCCAAAGUUGUGAUCGAGGCAAGAAUUCGCAGUGUUUGCCAUUUUCUCCGUCUAGGAUUUCCGGGUUGUGGCCGGAUUUUUGGCCGAUUUCCAGCCCAGUUUGGGGGCGGCAUGUUCUAGAUCGCUGUGGAACAGCUCUUAUUCAGCUAUAUAAGCCAUAUCCUCAUAUAAACAAGUGGAAGGUUUACAGGACAUUAACAAAUUAGUUGAGCUAGCAGUUCCUUUACUUUGUGAUGUCCCUGGUGUGGGUGAAAAAAAUGUUAAGGUAGUUGGGAAGAUUUAGCAAUGCCUUUUUUGUGUGCUUUACUUUAUUACGUUUUGAUAGGAGGUUCAGCAACAGAUUACUAAAAUUAUCACUUACAUAUAUAGCCUCCACCACAAAGUAAUUUACUAAGAAAUGUAAAGUACUUUGUCUUCUGGGUUAGUGUUCUCUAAUUUAGAUUAGACAUCAGGGCUUUGAGCUUGGUAAGGUUUCUUUUCUUAAUGUACCUCAUUUUUUUUAUUUUUUUUUCUUUUUGGAGUUUUUGAUUUACAGAUAAAUUCUACGUUUAAAUUCUCUUUUUGUGAUCCUGCAGAUUUUGUCUCUGUAAUCAGAUGGUUGAUAUCACUGUCUGAUAUUGUUCUUCUUCACUUUCAAGAAGCACCCGUGUUUAUUGAAGUUUCCUACAGCCAAAUUGGAAUCAAUCUGAAAGAACUGCAUCUAUUCGCCGUCUUCAAGGUCAGCUCAUAACUCUGUAACCAUCCACGUAUAGAACUUUAUCCAUUUUUAUCAUUGUGGUAUCAAUACAAAUGUACUCUUAUUUUUUGAGGUGGGAUUGGUCUUAAAACACAAGAACCAAAAUUUAAUUGAUCCCAUUGUUCUGUACACAAAAAUUCCAUCGACCCAAAAA
Molecule: non-coding RNA, 1022 nt
Organism: Malus domestica (apple)
Lineage: Eukaryota; Viridiplantae; Streptophyta; Magnoliopsida; Rosales; Rosaceae
Source: RefSeq, a predicted model, not a curated record